RNAcentral lists this ribosomal RNA (361 nucleotides) under uncultured Desulfobulbus sp. RNAcentral's name for it is "bacterial SSU rRNA". It matches the Rfam family "Bacterial small subunit ribosomal RNA", at positions 1022 to 1382 of the family's 1533-position model. Lineage: Bacteria; Pseudomonadati; Thermodesulfobacteriota; Desulfobulbia; Desulfobulbales; Desulfobulbaceae. The record is from RNAcentral.
AAGAAUCUGGAGACAGGUGCUGCAUGGCUGUCGUCAGCUCGUGUCGUGAGAUGUUGGGUUAAGUCCCGCAACGAGCGCAACCCUUGCCUUUAGUUGCCAGCAGUUCGGCUGGGCACUCUAAAGGGACUGCCGGUGUUAAACCGGAGGAAGGUGGGGAUGACGUCAAGUCCUCAUGGCCUUUAGUGACCAGGGCUACACACGUACUACAAUGGCCGAUACAAAGGGCAGCGACACUGCGAGGUGAAGCCAAUCCCGUAAAAUCGGUCUCAGUCCGGAUUGGAGUCUGCAACUCGACUCCAUGAAGUUGGAAUCGCUAGUAAUCGUGGAUCAGCAUGCCACGGUGAAUACGUUCCCGGGCCUU